RNAcentral lists this transfer RNA (75 nucleotides) under Pediococcus acidilactici. RNAcentral describes it as "tRNA-Ile". It matches the Rfam family "tRNA". Rfam says of the family: Transfer RNA (tRNA) molecules are approximately 80 nucleotides in length. Their secondary structure includes four short double-helical elements and three loops (D, anti-codon, and T loops). Further hydrogen bonds mediate the characteristic L-shaped molecular structure. tRNAs have two regions of fundamental functional importance: the anti-codon, which is responsible for specific mRNA codon recognition, and the 3' end, to which the tRNAs corresponding amino acid is attached (by aminoacyl-tRNA synthetases). tRNAs cope with the degeneracy of the genetic code in two manners: having more than one tRNA (with a specific anti-codon) for a particular amino acid; and 'wobble' base-pairing, i.e. permitting non-standard base-pairing at the 3rd anti-codon position. The record is from RNAcentral. Lineage: Bacteria; Bacillati; Bacillota; Bacilli; Lactobacillales; Lactobacillaceae.
GGUGUUGUAGCUCAGCGGUAGAGCGCUUGAUGGAUAAUCAAGAGGUCGCCAGUCCGAAUCUGGUCAGCUCCACUA